GACGAACGCUGGCGGCGUGCUUAACACAUGCAAGUCGAACGAGACGAUUGAAAGCUUGCUUUUGAGAGUCGAGUGGCAAACGGGUGAGUAACGCGUAGACAACCUGCCGCAAAGAUGGGGACAACAGUCCGAAAGGACUGCUAAUACCGAAUGUUGUCAAGUUUCCGCAUGGGAGCUUGAUUAAAGAUGGCCUCUACUUGUAAGCUAUCGCUUUGCGAUGGGUCUGCGUCUGAUUAGCUAGUUGGUGGGGUAACGGCCUACCAAGGCGACGAUCAGUAGCCGGUCUGAGAGGAUGAACGGCCACAUUGGAACUGAGACACGGUCCAGACUCCUACGGGAGGCAGCAGUGGGGAAUCUUCCGCAAUGGGCGAAAGCCUGACGGAGCAACGCCGCGUGAGUGAAGAAGGGUUUCGGCUCGUAAAGCUCUGUUGACGGGGACGAAUGUGCGAAAUGCGAAUAGU
This 461-nucleotide ribosomal RNA is filed under the name bacterium AC2006. RNAcentral describes it as "bacterial SSU rRNA". It matches the Rfam family "Bacterial small subunit ribosomal RNA", at positions 28 to 467 of the family's 1533-position model. The record is from RNAcentral.